CGUGUAGGCGGUUUGGUAAGUUGGACGUGAAAGCUCCUGGCUCAACUAGGAGAGGUCGUUCAAUACUGUCAGACUUGAGGAUGGUAGAGGGAGGUGGAAUUCCGGGUGUAGUGGUGAAAUACGCAGAUAUCCGGAGGAACACCAGUGGCGAAAGCGGCCUCCUGGACCAUUCCUGACGCUCAGACGCGAAAGCUAGGGUAGCAAACG
This 207-nucleotide ribosomal RNA is filed under the name uncultured bacterium. RNAcentral's name for it is "partial 16S ribosomal RNA". It matches the Rfam family "Bacterial small subunit ribosomal RNA", at positions 568 to 774 of the family's 1533-position model. The record is from RNAcentral.